UUACUGGGCGUAAAGCGCACGCAGGCGGUCUGUUAAGCUAGAUGUGAAAGCCCCGCGCUCAACGUGGGAGGGUCAUUUAGAACUGGCAGACUAGAGUCUUGGAGAGGGGAGUGGAAUUCCAGGUGUAGCGGUGAAAUGCGUAGAGAUCUGGAGGAACAUCAAUGGCGAAGGCAACUCCCUGGCCAAAGACUGACGCUCAUGUGCGAAAGUGUGGGUAGCGAACAGGAUUAGAUACCCUGGUAGUCCACACCGUAAACGCUGUCUACUAGCUGUUUGUGGAUUUAAUCCGUGAGUAGCGAAGCUAACGCGAUAAGUAGACCGCCUGGGGAGUACGGCCGCAAGGUUAAAACUCAAAUGAAUUGACGGGGGCCCGCACAAGCGGUGGAGCAUGUGGUUUAAUUCGAUGCAACGCGAAGAACCUUACCUACUCUUGACAUACUAGAAACUUUUCAGAGAUGAAUUGGUGCCUUCGGGAAUCUAGAUACAGGUGCUGCAUGGCU
Molecule: ribosomal RNA, 500 nt
Filed under: uncultured Glaciecola sp.
Lineage: Bacteria; Pseudomonadati; Pseudomonadota; Gammaproteobacteria; Alteromonadales; Alteromonadaceae
Description: bacterial SSU rRNA
Rfam family: Bacterial small subunit ribosomal RNA
Source: RNAcentral